UACGAAGGGGGCUAGCGUUGCUCGGAAUCACUGGGCGUAAAGAGCGUGUAGGCGGUCCGGUAAGUCGGCUGUGAAAGUCCAGGGCUCAACCCUGGGAUGCCGGUCGAUACUGCCGGACUAGAGUUCGGAAGAGGCGAGUGGAAUUCCCGGUGUAGCGGUGAAAUGCGUAGAUAUCAGGAGGAAUACCGGUGGCGAAAGCGACUCUCUGGACGGCAACUGACGCUGAGGCACGAAAGCGUGGGGAGCAAACAGG
This 253-nucleotide ribosomal RNA is filed under the name uncultured bacterium. RNAcentral describes it as "partial 16S ribosomal RNA". It matches the Rfam family "Bacterial small subunit ribosomal RNA", at positions 524 to 776 of the family's 1533-position model. The record is from RNAcentral.